CAGUCGCCGCGGGAAUACGUAGGGUGCAAGCGUUAAUCGGAAUUACUGGGCGUAAAGCGUGCGCAGGCGGUUAUAUAAGACAGAUGUGAAAUCCCCGGGCUCAACCUGGGAACUGCAUUUGUGACUGUAUAGCUAGAGUACGGCAGAGGGGGAUGGAAUUCCGCGUGUAGCAGUGAAAUGCGUAGAUAUGCGGAGGAACACCGAUGGCGAAGGCAAUCCCCUGGGACUGUACUGACGCUCAUGCACGAAAGCGUGGGGAGCAAACAGGAUUAGAUACCCCGGUAGUCCCUGUCUCUUAUAC
RNAcentral lists this ribosomal RNA (301 nucleotides) under uncultured bacterium. RNAcentral's name for it is "partial 16S ribosomal RNA". It matches the Rfam family "Bacterial small subunit ribosomal RNA", at positions 509 to 807 of the family's 1533-position model. The record is from RNAcentral.